RNAcentral lists this ribosomal RNA (250 nucleotides) under uncultured prokaryote. RNAcentral's name for it is "partial 16S ribosomal RNA". It matches the Rfam family "Bacterial small subunit ribosomal RNA", at positions 524 to 774 of the family's 1533-position model. The record is from RNAcentral.
UACGUAGGGGGCAAGCGUUAUCCGGAAUAACUGGGCGUAAAGGGUGCGCAGGUGGUAUAGCAAGUUAGAGGUGAAAAGCAUAGGCUCAACCAAUGUAAGCCUUUAAAACUGCGAUACUUGAGUGCGGGAGAGGAAAGUGGAAUUCCUAGUGUAGCGGUGAAAUGCGUAGAUAUUAGGAGGAAUACCGGUGGCGAAGGCGACUUUCUGGACCGUAACUGACACUGAGGCACGAAAGCGUGGGGAGCAAACA